UGAACGAGACAGUACAUGAUAUUGUGAGUACUGUACUGCAAACUGAUGAUGAACAAGUUAUACAAGAUGUUUUCAAUCAGAACCUGGUUCUCACAAAGUUUGAAUGUUAUUACAUGGCAGUUGAUGCGUUUCACUCUCAUUGCUUCAAUAUUGGACAAAACGAUUAUGCUUUGAGGAUGUUAAACACUUUUGUGAACCUGUGUCAGCAUGGGAUAGAUUCAGCCGCCAUUGUUCAAGCUGUUCAGGCUACGUGUGAUCAUCCUCCAAUGACUGGAAUCUAUUGAUUGAUCGUUAGAUUGGUCGAUUAAUUUAUUGGAUGAUUGAUUAAUUGAACGAUUGAUUGAUCAAUUAUUUGGCUCAUUAUUUUAUUAAUUGAUCGACUGAUUGAUUAGUUCUUUGAUAAUAUGAACUCAUUACUGUUGAUAAUUGUUUCAAAAAUUGUAAUUUCAAAGAGAGAAACGUUAAUAAAUGUUCAAAAUUCAUAA
Eurytemora carolleeae is the source of this 485-nucleotide long non-coding RNA. RefSeq lists it as uncharacterized. The record is from RefSeq and is a predicted model, not a curated record. Lineage: Eukaryota; Metazoa; Arthropoda; Copepoda; Calanoida; Temoridae. The transcript has 4 exons.